This 449-nucleotide ribosomal RNA is filed under the name Veillonella dispar. RNAcentral's name for it is "bacterial SSU rRNA". It matches the Rfam family "Bacterial small subunit ribosomal RNA", at positions 28 to 453 of the family's 1533-position model. Lineage: Bacteria; Bacillati; Bacillota; Negativicutes; Veillonellales; Veillonellaceae. The record is from RNAcentral.
GACGAACGCUGGCGGCGUGCUUAACACAUGCAAGUCGAACGAAGAGCGAUGGAAGCUUGCUUCUAUCAAUCUUAGUGGCGAACGGGUGAGUAACGCGUAAUCAACCUGCCCUUCAGUGGGGGACAACAGUUGGAAACGACUGCUAAUACCGCAUACGAUCUAAUCUCGGCAUCGAGGAUAGAUGAAAGGUGGCCUCUAUGUAUAAGCUAUCACUGAAGGAGGGGAUUGCGUCUGAUUAGCUAGUUGGAGGGGUAACGGCCCACCAAGGCGAUGAUCAGUAGCCGGUCUGAGAGGAUGAACGGCCACAUUGGGACUGAGACACGGCCCAGACUCCUACGGGAGGCAGCAGUGGGGAAUCUUCCGCAAUGGACGAAAGUCUGACGGAGCAACGCCGCGUGAGUGAUGACGGCCUUCGGGUUGUAAAGCUCUGUUAAUUCGGGACGAAAGGC